GAAGCCUUAACUAUCCUAAAUAAAGACUUAAAAAUAUACAAAUCAAAUUACAGGCUGGGGAUAUAGCUCAGUUGUGCCUGCCUCAUGUGCACAAGGCCCUGGGUUCAAUCCCCAGCACCACAAAAUUUUUUUUAAAAAACACACAAGCCAGGUAUGGUGGUGUGUGCCUGUAAUCCCAGCAAAUCAGGAGGCUGAGGCAGGAGAUCACAUGCUUGAGGCCAGCCUCAGGAUUUUAGCAGGACCCUCAAUAACUUAGACCUUGUCUCAAAAUUUAAAAAUGGGCUGAGGUGUAGCUUAGUAGCCGGAUGCCCCUGGGUUCAAUCCCAGUAACUACCCCCACAAAUAACUUAUAGGACAAGUAGGCAUAAAAUCAGCAAGGAUAGCCAAGCACAGUGGUGCACACCUGUAAUCCCAGUGGUUCAGGAGGCAGAGGCAAGCAGAUUGUGAGUUCAAAGCCAGCCUCAGCAAAAGUGAGGCACUAAGCAACUCAGUGAGACCCUGUCUCUAAAUGAAACACAAAAUAGGGCUGGGGAUGUGGCUCAGUGGUCGAGUGCCCCUGAGUUCAAUCUGCAGUAACAACAACAACAAAAAUAAGCAGGGAUAUAGUAUACUAUCAAUCAAAUUUAUCUGGUUGAUAUUUAUAGAAGACUCCAUCCAACAACAAAAUACAUUUUUUUCAGUUACAUGGACUGUUUAUCAUAAUAAUCUGUGUUCUAAGUCAUAAAGUAAGUCUAUAAAUUCAACAAGAACCAAGACAUAGAAAAGUUAUCUGAGCACAAUGAAAUUGAACCAGGUAUCAUUAAGAAAGAUCUGGAAAAUCCCUAAAUACUUGAAAAUGAAACAGUGUACUUCUAAAUAAUCCAUGGAUCAAAGAAGAAAUCAAAAGAGAACUUAGAAAAUAUUUUGAACUGGGGCUGGGGUUGUGGCUCAGUGGUACAGUGCUUCUAGCAUGUGUGAGGCACUGGGUUCGAUUCUCAGCACCACAUACAAAUAUAAAUAAAGGUCCAUCAACAACUAAUAAAAUAUUUUUUAAGAAGGAAAAUAUUUUGAACUGAGCAAAACCAUAUCAUAACUUAUGGAAUUCUUCUAAAGCAAAUAAAC
Molecule: long non-coding RNA, 1101 nt
Filed under: Marmota monax (woodchuck)
Lineage: Eukaryota; Metazoa; Chordata; Mammalia; Rodentia; Sciuridae
Source: RNAcentral